UAACGAAUAUUCCGCAAUGCGCGAAAGCGUGACGGAGCAAUGCCGCGUGUGGGAUGAGGCAUCUAGGUGUGUAAACCACUGUCAGGGUUUAGGAAUUUUGACCAGACCCAAAGGAAGAGCCGGCUAACUCUGUGCCAGCAGCCGCGGUAAUACAGAGGGCUCAAGCGUUAAUCGGAAUCACUGGGCUUAAAGGGUCCGCAGGCGGAUUGGAAAGUAUCUUGUGAAAUACCACGGCUCAACCGUGGAAUUGCUCGGUAAACUUCCAAUCUUGAACACGGUAGGGGCCAUCGGAACUCUAGGUGGAGCGGUGAAAUGCGUAGAUAUCUAGAGGAACGCCAGAGGCGAAGGCGGAUGGCUGGGCCGUUGUUGACGCUCAGGGACGAAAGCAUGGGUAGCGAACGGGAUUAGAUACCCCCGUAGUCC
This 423-nucleotide ribosomal RNA is filed under the name uncultured prokaryote. RNAcentral's name for it is "bacterial SSU rRNA". It matches the Rfam family "Bacterial small subunit ribosomal RNA", at positions 355 to 796 of the family's 1533-position model. The record is from RNAcentral.